Long non-coding RNA from Populus trichocarpa (black cottonwood), 2150 nucleotides. RefSeq lists it as uncharacterized. NCBI's taxonomy places the organism in Eukaryota, Viridiplantae, Streptophyta, Magnoliopsida, Malpighiales, Salicaceae. The record is from RefSeq and is a predicted model, not a curated record. The transcript has 2 exons.
UAUAAGAUAAUUUCGAGUAUAUCUGAUUUAAUCUGAUUUGAGCACCAACAACUUCCUCGUAUAUAUUUAAUAGCCGGUAAUGCCCCAUUGGUUGAUCAUGGGGAGCAAUCCCUGUUCAAUAUCAGCAGUACUUCACACCACCCCUGUAUGCUGUAUAUACAUGGCACAAACUCUAACAAAAACCAAACCAAAUUGAUAAUGGAAAACCAACGCCAAGAAACCCCUCCUCUCCUCCAAGACCUCAAGGUCACGAUCCAGAAUUCUUCUUUGGUUUUUCCCAUCCAAGAAACUGAAAGAAAAUCCAUCUUCUAGUCAAAUUAUAAGAACGGUAAAGGAUAUCUAGUUUGGUGAUCAUGAUCGGUAUACAGUAAGCAGGGCUUUGAAGAUUAAUGUUGCCUUGCCUUCCACAUUAUGGCCAUCAGAGUUACGACAAUAUAAAAGAAAGUGUGUUUAGAGACGCACUGAUGGUCAUUUUCACGACUUCUUCCGUUUGAUUAGGGUCUAAUUUCAAUUAUCUCAGGUUAGGUUUCGAUUUCUCUGUUAAGAAUUCGGAAAAUUGUAUGGAUUCAUUAGGGAUUCCUCUUGAUUCUAUGCAUAAGAGGAGGGCGGCUGGAACAGAGAGAGCUUAGACAAAGAAGAGAGUCUGAAGAUUAGGAAUCUUUGUAUAAAAAGGCGAAAAAAAAAGCGGCAGAUGCAGACUGGUGUUGAUGCUGUCUCUAAUGGUCGUAAUCUUCGUACUGUUAACUUUGUCCAAUGAGCUAUUGAUGUGAUUAUUUUUUUUAAAGAGAAUUGGUCGAGUAUUGUCCUCUGCCCCAUCCCUCCCUUCCCCUGUUGUAUGCAAGUGUGCCCUUUUGUUGAUGUUUGGCAGAGUGCAAUAAAAAAAAGUUCCCUCCAAAUAUAAUGAAAAAAAACAGAGGUUUUGUGCUCUUGAAACACAGUGCUGCCCAGCAAUGUCAUGUGACGAGACUUUCUAUACUGUCCCUUUAUCAUUUGAUAACACGGAAUGCACGACAACUUUCGUGUUCCAGAAUUGAGCAAUACACUUCUAAUGAUGAACUGUAAAUGAUUGUAGACAAGGAAUCUUUUUUUCUAGUAAGAAAGUAGCAACUCCCAGAGCAGAUAAAUCUUGAUUUGGGUUUUCCCAUCUAGUUUCCAUAGAGGCAAUCGUGUCACUUUUUGAGCUAUAUUGGGCCAGUCAGCUUUGAAACAUGCAUGUCCCUUGCAAUGUCUUGAUGAGAUUAUUAGACGAAUCAGUUAAACGCCUCAUUGUUGUUGUAUAAUGUUUUUCUUUAAAUGGCCUAAGCAACUGAUCAAGUAGCUGUGCUCUGAUGUUAAUAUAAGCACAGACACGUUUUUCAAGCUGGACUGAAGCGAAUGGUUUUUGACAGUGGGACUGGAUGCUAUUCAAGAUAUUAGCAGCUUGCUUUUUCCCAUUUCUAAGAUUGUCUUGCAGGUAUGUGCGAAACUACCAGGAAAAGGAGAGGUUGGCACGGAGGUAUUGAGGUCAGGCGCAUAGUCAAGGGGAUGUCUGCUUUUUCUCGAAGGCAUCAUAAUUUUUUCUUGUUCUGGAUGUAUUUCACUAGCUGCCUGGCAGUUUUCAAAACUUGCAAGCUUCAUCUGUACUGAGUGAUUUCAUCUUUCAGGCUAAAGAAUGGGAAGCCUUUCUCGUGUUGCGUCAAUCCAAUUUUAUUUCAUCUGGGAGAAGCCUGAUAAUGAGCAAGAAACAUCCAGUUUCUGCUAAAGGGUGUGUUGAGCUCAUAACUCAUUAAAUUGUGGAAAAAACCAGUCUCUUGCGUGUCCUCAUGGGAGUAGGCACCAGUCUCGAGGAGCAAGAGACUCAUAGACGGUGGAUUGGUUAAGGGAACCCACCAUAGCCGUAGUGAACUCGUUAGCCUACCUGAAACUAUCUAAAUGAUGGGUCUCAAUUCGAGAAGAAGAGCUGACAGAGCAAUGCCGCGUGGAUUUAUAUAGUCGAACUUGCUCCUGAGCUGUCAGUGAUGUUGCUUGUUUUUCCCCGGUUGUGACCCAAUUGUAGUGUGUUUUUUUUAUACGCACCGUUUUAUUUAUGUUUUACUAACGGGUAGUCUAGUGAUGAGGACUGCAUAAGAGGAGUUAAUGGUAAAAAAAAGAGGCCACGACAAGCUUGCCAA